AGAGUUUGAUCCUGGCUCAGAUUGAACGCUGGCGGCAUGCCUUACACAUGCAAGUCGAACGGUAACGCGGGGCAACCUGGCGACGAGUGGCGAACGGGUGAGUAAUAUAUCGGAACGUGCCCAGNUAGUGGGGGAUAGCCCGGCGAAAGCCGGAUUAAUACCGCAUACGACCUACGGGUGAAAGCGGGGGAUCGCAAGACCUCGCGCUAUUGGAGCGGCCGAUAUCAGAUUAGGUAGUUGGUGGGGUAAAAGCCUACCAAGCCGACGAUCUGUAGCUGGUCUGAGAGGACGACCAGCCACACUGGGACUGAGACACGGCCCAGACUCCUACGGGAGGCAGCAGUGGGGAAUUUUGGACAAUGGGCGCAAGCCUGAUCCAGCCAUGCCGCGUGCGGGAAGAAGGCCUUCGGGUUGUAAACCGCUUUUGUCAGGGAAGAAAUCUUCUGGGCUAAUACCCCGGGAGGAUGACGGUACCUGAAGAAUAAGCACCGGCUAACUACGUGCCAGCAGCCGCGGUAAUACGUAGGGUGCGAGCGUUAAUCGGAAUUACUGGGCGUAAAGCGUGCGCAGGCGGUUAUGCAAGACAGAUGUGAAAUCCCCGGGCUCAACCUGGGAACUGCAUUUGUGACUGCAUGGCUGGAGUGCGGCAGAGGGGGAUGGAAUUCCGCGUGUAGCAGUGAAAUGCGUAGAUAUGCGGA
RNAcentral lists this ribosomal RNA (698 nucleotides) under uncultured bacterium. RNAcentral's name for it is "bacterial SSU rRNA". It matches the Rfam family "Bacterial small subunit ribosomal RNA", at positions 8 to 702 of the family's 1533-position model. The record is from RNAcentral.